CCCAUGUGGUAAUCUUCAAGCCAGAGUAACCAUACCGGUUUGUCUGUACUAAGUACUUACCCUGUGUUUGUUUUUUCCUGCUUCCCUACUAGUACCUGUGAGGUGUGGGCAGAUUCCGUGCAACGCUGGACCUCGACUACCCGGACUUCAUUCUGACAGUUUGUGAUUUUGGAUUUUCUGUACUCGACUGUUGGCUUGGCUCCUGGACCCAACUAAGACCCUAUCCCUGUGAGUACUCUGACCAGCCAUGGAUCGUUCCUUGCUGGACCACUUUUCUGGAUUGACAGACUCCUUGCCCCAUUGGAAGGCCCCACUCCAGUUCUGUAACAACCAGAGACGAAAGAUCCCGAGAAGCCUGCAAUCCUGCCUCUACUUUCCUGACCGGAGUUCCGGUGUAACCUUAAACAAGACCAGUAAAAUAAACCUUCUAACCUCCUUUGUUCUCCUGAGUGUGGUUGCAUGUGGGUUAAACAAAUCUUUAAAGAAAUGACAGAAUACUCAGGCCAACAAGACCCAGCAGACCCGCUCGGGAGAUAAGUAUCCGAUCAACAUCAGCUAAUUCAGUCGCAUGACUCCAUGCUCAGGUCUCUACAUGAUCAACUUGUAAUUUCCAAUCAGUGUCUGGAGCAAAUGGCUGGACAGAUGCAGGGGCUCCUACAAAAUUUGCAGCCUAGUUCAAGUUCGACUUCCCCUCCACCUGGCGGUGCUAUUGCACCUCUGGUUUCUCAGUCUACAACCUUUCGUGACAUCACUACCCCCAACCCGGAGAAGUUCUCUGGUGAGGUGGGUUGUGGCGGCUUCCUGCUGCAAUGUUUUUUAGUUUUCAGUCGAUCUCCCCACUCCUUUCCCCAGGAAGAAGCUAAAAUCUUGUUCAUUUUGGGCCUGCACACUGGAAAAGCUUUAAAAUUUGGCUGAAGCAAGAUUUCAGGACCCUUCCAGUUUCGGUUGCACACACAAGGAAUUUAUUGAUGAGUUCCGAUUAACUUUUUCUGAAGAGUCGGAUCGAUCAGGCUUAUCCCCUGGCUAUGGAGUCUAAAACAUUUGUUUUGCACACUGGCUGCAGCAUCUGGCUGGGACAACAGUGCUUUCAAGGCAGCAUUUUUUUUCAAGCCCUAAACAAGUCCUUAAAGGAUGAAUUGGCCACACGGGAUGAGCCUGAGUCGCUCAAUGAUUUUAUAGCCUUAGCAGUAAGAAUUGAUAACCGACUCAGGGAGAGAAGAAGGUUUCGGACAGAUGGGUCAUCGGUUGGGAGCGGUGCUAACACUACUGCACUAAGACCACUCAACCCACGUUAAUCUCUGCCUUUAUUUCCCCCUGAAUAUUUCCUGGCUUGUCUUUGGA
Molecule: long non-coding RNA, 1341 nt
Organism: Girardinichthys multiradiatus
Lineage: Eukaryota; Metazoa; Chordata; Actinopteri; Cyprinodontiformes; Goodeidae
Exons: 2
Source: RefSeq, a predicted model, not a curated record